Molecule: ribosomal RNA, 374 nt
Filed under: uncultured organism
Description: partial 16S ribosomal RNA
Rfam family: Bacterial small subunit ribosomal RNA
Source: RNAcentral
GUAGGUGGCAAGCGUUGUCCGGAAUUAUUGGGCGUAAAGCGCGCGCAGGCGGUUCUUUAAGUCUGAUGUGAAAGCCCACGGCUCAGCCGUGGAGGGUCAUUGGAAACUGGAGAACUUGAGUACAGAAGAGGAAAGCGGAAUUCCACGUGUAGCGGUGAAAUGCGUAGAGAUGUGGAGGAACACCAGUGGCGAAGGCGGCUUUCUGGUCUGUAACUGACGCUGAGGCGCGAAAGCGUGGGGAGCAAACAGGAUUAGAUACCCUGGUAGUCCACGCCGUAAACGAUGAGUGCUAAGUGUUAGGGGGGUUUUCCGCCCCCCUUAGUGCUGCAGCUAACGCAUUAAGCACUCCGCCUGGGAGUACGGCCGCAAGGCUG